GCUUGUAGCUCAGGUGGUUAGAGCGCACCCCUGAUAAGGGUGAGGUCGGUGGUUCAAGUCCACUCAGGC
This 69-nucleotide transfer RNA is filed under the name Citrobacter freundii. RNAcentral describes it as "tRNA-Ile". It matches the Rfam family "tRNA". Rfam says of the family: Transfer RNA (tRNA) molecules are approximately 80 nucleotides in length. Their secondary structure includes four short double-helical elements and three loops (D, anti-codon, and T loops). Further hydrogen bonds mediate the characteristic L-shaped molecular structure. tRNAs have two regions of fundamental functional importance: the anti-codon, which is responsible for specific mRNA codon recognition, and the 3' end, to which the tRNAs corresponding amino acid is attached (by aminoacyl-tRNA synthetases). tRNAs cope with the degeneracy of the genetic code in two manners: having more than one tRNA (with a specific anti-codon) for a particular amino acid; and 'wobble' base-pairing, i.e. permitting non-standard base-pairing at the 3rd anti-codon position. Lineage: Bacteria; Pseudomonadati; Pseudomonadota; Gammaproteobacteria; Enterobacterales; Enterobacteriaceae. The record is from RNAcentral. RNAcentral also lists the same sequence under 4 other names.